Long non-coding RNA from Notolabrus celidotus (New Zealand spotty), 796 nucleotides. RefSeq lists it as uncharacterized. Lineage: Eukaryota; Metazoa; Chordata; Actinopteri; Labriformes; Labridae. The transcript has 3 exons. The record is from RefSeq and is a predicted model, not a curated record.
ACAACAGAGGCAGACAGAAAGUGGACUGAUGAGAUGUAAGUAGAAGUCAACGUUCCCUCCAGUCAUCAUGUUUCCUGUGCAAGGAAACUUGCUGUUGCCUUAGAGAUGGAGCAGGAAAACAUCUUGCAGCAGAGAAACAGAUGAAUGUGAGAGACUUUUCACCCGAUCCAGGCAACUUCAUGAGAAUCAGGAAGAGAUCCGGGCUUGAAGACAGAUAGAGGAAUCAACUGCAAUCAUACCUUCACCCCUCUAUCCAUCAUAACCAGUUAAGCACUGGACAAAACACAUCCAGACCACUUCACAUCAGUGCAGCCACAUGAAGAGGAGGAAAAAGAGAGAUUUCCACACACUGUACACACUCCUUGAGCAAAAGGGGGCCACAUUACAUAAAAUGUUUUACAGUUACACUCUUCAGCUUUGGUGGGGUUGAGUUUCAGGGCGGUGAACUUACUGGCCGCCCUGUUGGCAUGACAGGGAUUUUCCCUUUGCUCCUCUGCUCCUGGUGGCUCAAGGCAGAAGGUUUCUCACUGAUGGAGGUGUCUGUUUGCCAAGAAAGAAAGAAAUAUCAUGUUCUGGCUGAGCUUUGACACUUCAACACCAGCAUCACUCAAACAGCCCUGAGGUCUUGGUAUAGAGGUAGAACAAAAAGAGGGAAGUGUUGCAUGAGGGCUGAAGGCGGCAGACGAAUACAAGUAGGGGAGACUGGGGACGGUUGUGACAAGUCCUAUUUCUCUAACCAGAAACAUGCUAGUGAUGUAACUCAUACUGCACGUGGUCAUUUAGACCUUCCCUGGAA